CACGUAGGCUCCAAGCGUUGUCCGGAUUUAUUGGGCGUAAAGAGCUCGUAGGCGGUUUAGUAAGUCGGGUGUUAAAACUCUGGGCUCAACCUGGGAACUGCGUUUGAAACUACAAGGCUAGAGUGUAGCAGAGGGGGGUGGAAUUCCACGUGUAGCAGUGAAAUGCGUAGAGAUGUGGAGGAACACCGAUGGCGAAGGCAGCCCCCUGGGUUAACACUGACGCUCAGGCACGAAAGCGUGGGGAGCAAACAGG
This 253-nucleotide ribosomal RNA is filed under the name uncultured bacterium. RNAcentral's name for it is "partial 16S ribosomal RNA". It matches the Rfam family "Bacterial small subunit ribosomal RNA", at positions 524 to 776 of the family's 1533-position model. The record is from RNAcentral.